Molecule: long non-coding RNA, 3703 nt
Organism: Equus caballus (horse)
Lineage: Eukaryota; Metazoa; Chordata; Mammalia; Perissodactyla; Equidae
Source: Ensembl
CACCAUGCUAUACAUUACAUCCCUAUGACUUAUUUAUUUCAUAACUAGAAGUUUGUACCUUUUGACUCCCUUUGCCCAUUUCUCCUACCCACCACUCCCUGCCUCUGGCAACCACCAAUCUGUUCUUUGUUUCUAUGAGCUUGGUGUUUUUUUGUUUUGUUUUAUUUUUUUUAGAUUCCACAUAUAAGUGAGAUUAUAUGGUAUUUGUAUUUCUCUGUCUGACUUAUUUCACUUAGCAUAAUGCCUUCAGGAUCCAUCAAUGUUGUUGCAGAUUGCAAGAUUUCAUUCUUUUUUAUGGCUGAAUAAUAUUCCAUUGUAAAUAUAUACCUCAUUUCUUUAUCCAUUCAUCCAUCAAUGGACACUUAGGUUGUUCCUGUAUCUUGGCUGUUGUAAAUAUUCUGCAAUGAACAUGGGAGUGCAGAUAUCUAGAGUUAGUGUUUUCAUUGUCUUCAGAUAAAUAUCCAGAAGUGGAAUUGCUAUAUCAUAUGGUGGUUCUAUUUUAAUUUUUUGAGGAACUCCAUACUGUUUUCCAUAGUGGCUGAACCAAUUUACAUUCCCGCCAACAGUACACGAGUGUUCCCACUUCUCCACAUCCUUGCCAACACUUGUUAUUUCUUGUCUUUUGUAUAAUAGCCAUUGUAAUAGGUAUGAGGCGAUAUCUCAUUGUGGGGUUUUUUGUGUGUGUGAGGAAGAUUGGCCCUGAGCUAACAUCCAUUGCUAAUCUUCCUCUUUUUGCUUGAGGAAGAUUGUCGCUGAGCUAACAUCUGUGCCAGUCUUCCUCUAUUUUGUAUGUGGGAUGCUGCCACAGCAUGGGUUAAUGAGCAGUGUGUAGGUCUGUGCCCAGGAUCCAAACCCACAAACCCCAGGCCUCCAAAGCAGAGCGCACACACAUAACCACUAUGCCACCAGGCCGGCCCCUCAUUGUGGUUUGAUUUGCAUUUCCCUAAUGAUUAGUGAUGUUGAGCAUCUUUUCUCAAUUUGAGCAUCUUUCCUCUCUGUACCUGCUGCCCAUCUGUAUGUCUUCUUUGGAAAAAUGCCUAUUCAAAUCCUCUGCUCACUUUGUUUUAUUGGAUUAUUUGCUUUUUCACUAUUUAGUUGUAUGAGUCCUUUAUAUAUUUUGGAUAUUAACCCCUUACCAGAUAUAUGAUUGCAGAUAUUUUCUUCCGUUCAUGAAGUUGCCUUUUCAUUUUGUUAAUUGUUCCAUUUGCUAUGCAGAAGCUUUUUGUGUUUUAAAUUUCUUGUUGCUGUACUUACAGGAAAUUUUGCAUCUUAUACUUACGCAUUUACUAAAGUGAAGACCAAAUCUCAUAAAGCUUCACCAAACAAGAAAAGAUAAAAUAUACAGAUAUCCUACUUUUGUCACUCAAGAAGUGAAGACUUAUCAUUUUAUGUUUAUUUUCCUUUCGGAGUUUUCUUGACAGGCUGUGGAAUCUCAGGGAUUACUAUUAAAGAGCCAGUUUUUUAAAUGAUGUUUCUAUCGAAGUCAAGGCAAUUGAAAGUAAGCUUAGCUCAAGGGCAGGUAAUUAACUCCGUCUCUGCAUGUCUGUACUUGAGCGUAACGGCCUCUGGACAAAUAGGUCUAUGGUUUGGCUUACUUCUGAUGAGAGUAAUGGAGAGAACCAGGAACAUGGCUCAUGGGCAUCUUGUUUCUCACUUUAUUUUCAAAGGAAAAUGUUUGGUUUUCUUUUAAGUGUAAUUGACAUAACAUUAUAUUAGUUUCAGGUGUACAACAUAACAAUUCAAUAUUAUUGCAAAGGAAAGUGUUAUCUGUAGUUAAGUAUAAGCUUAAGUUGGUAUUUACUUUUAUAUAGUUCUUCCUAUUUUUUUUUCCACUGGACUGUUGCAACAUUUUUCACCAAUUCAGCCUCAAGCACCAAUGACUUUCAAUAAUAGAUUUUCAAUAAAUAUUUGUUGAAUGGAUACAUGAGUGAAACUUGUUUUUUACAUUCAUGAGGGUGAAAGGUUUGCCUCAGUACUUUUCUGUAACUCCAAGAACUCCCUGAAAUUGCACUCCAGUGUAGCCAGUCUUAACAUGUUUCCCAUACAUCUCCCCAGUGACUGCUACAGUACAUGCUUAUUCAUUGGUAAUAUUGUCUCUGCUCUCCUGAAGGAUUCUCUUCAAUUGCAUUUACAUUUUUGAAACAUGGCCCACUUCUGUCUACCUUCUAAAAAUUUUUAACAAACAAACCUAGCUUUAAUAAGUCUAUUUAAUGAUUUGUAUAAUCAUUUCUUCAGAAGAAAGCAAACAGCGCGGGUCCUUGCAAAAGCAAGUUAAAGGCAGAUCUGAAGAAGAUGGGCGCAGGCAGGAAACAACUCAAGAACUCUUCCUUAGAAGCCUAGAGCUGUAAAAGUCAAUGAUCAAGUUAACCCAUGAUGAAACAAGUCCGUUUGACCAUUUUCAGGACUUCUUUUUGGAAAAAGACAGUUACUCUUGGGUUUUGUAGGCCUUAAUACAAGAACUUGAUUACCUCUGUUAGAGGAAAGCCACAUUGAAUGCCUUUAAAAAAAAUACCGCUUAGUAACACUUACAGACUCUUACAGACAGGUGAAAACUCUUUACAACAGGUAAUUGAAUGUUCUGGCUUUAUGUAUAGACCCGUGUAAAUGUAUAUUUAUAUAUUAUAAAUGCAGAACUUUCAAUUUACUAUUGAAAAAGUUUCCAUGUUUAAAAAAUUCUAAGCUGUAUUUGUGAUGAGGAUUUUACAGUUGCUCUAGAAAAAAGAAAAAAUACUUUUUCUUCCAAUUCUCUACCUUGAUUGAAUUAUGGCUAUUGCUCUUACUGGUCUGUAUUUGUCUAAUGCAGCCCCCGUUGUAACAUCUUUCAAAUCCCUCUGCUUAUCUACAAAUCUCAGUUAUUCGUCAAGUUUGAAUUGUUCAGAGACAAGGAUUUUCAGCAAGUAGAUCAAAAGAUAAAUGAUUUCAGGUUCUCACCAAACCCCCCUCUGGCAGCAAGUUAGCCUUCAGAGGUUUUGAAAUAAACACCUUCACUGGAGCAAGUGGGUAAUUCAUACGUGAAGCAAUAGAGUAUUGUCUCCCUUGACGGCAAUGAAUGGCAGAUUUAUACAGGUUAAUUCUUGAUGAGAAAGAAUGAAUAGGAAUUGUCUAUUUGAGAAGUUUCCACAGAUCGUCAAAACCAGACAGGGGAGACUGUUGUUCCUCUGGGUGCUUCUCUGUGCUAUUCUCUUUGUGUACUGUUGCUCAUUGUUUUGGAGCUCUCUAGGAUAAAAUAAAGCAGACAUCUCUGGAUUCUACAAUGGGAAUUCGGAGUUUUUCUUUUUCUGGCAAACAAUGUCUUGUUGCCAUGGUAUCAUUGAAUCAUAGACCUGACAUCGGAGAUGCCAGAUACAUUGAGAAAGGCUAGAAAAAGUCACCUACAAAGAAGAGGGAAGAAGUAUUUGAUCCCGAUUUUCUGUAUUUUAUUAUUAGAAAAAUAUAAUAAAUAAUAAUACAAUCUUAGAAAUACUUCAUAGAAUGCAUUUUUAAUUGUGAAGUAUUAUAACCAUACAGAAAAGUACACAAUACAAAUGUUUAGUGAACUCAGUGAAUUAGCACGAAUAGCCAUAAAUCCACUCCCUCGGUCAAGAUAUGAAGCACAUCAAGUAUUUCACAGUUACCCUGGCACUCCCUCUCAAUCAGUAUUCCUGUCUCCCCCAAAUAACCAGGGGCCUGAUUUUUAAGGCUUGUAAUUUAGUUUGCCUACUUG